RNAcentral lists this ribosomal RNA (235 nucleotides) under uncultured bacterium. RNAcentral describes it as "partial 16S ribosomal RNA". It matches the Rfam family "Bacterial small subunit ribosomal RNA", at positions 99 to 334 of the family's 1533-position model. The record is from RNAcentral.
CGGACGGGUGAGUAACGCGUGGGUAACCUGCCUUGUACAGGGGGAUAACAGUUGGAAACGGCUGCUAAUACCGCAUAAGCGCACGGCAUCGCAUGAUGCAGUGUGAAAAACUCCAGUGGUAUAAGAUGGACCCGCGUUGGAUUAGCUAGUUGGUGAGGUAACGGCCCACCAAGGCGACGAUCCAUAGCCGACCUGAGAGGGUGACCGGCCACAUUGGGACUGAGACACGGCCCAA